CCUACGGGAGGCAGCAGUGAGGAAUAUUGGUCAAUGGACGAGAGUCUGAACCAGCCAAGUAGCGUGAAGGAUGACUGCCCUAUGGGUUGUAAACUUCUUUUAUAUGGGAAUAAAAUGUUCCCCGUGUGGGAUUUUGUAUGUACCAUAUGAAUAAGGAUCGGCUAACUCCGUGCCAGCAGCCGCGGUAAUACGGAGGAUCCGAGCGUUAUCCGGAUUUAUUGGGUUUAACGGGAGCGUAGGUGGAUUGUUAAGUCAGUUGUGAAAGUUUGCGGCUCAACCGUAAAAUUGCAGUUGAAACUGGCAGUCUUGAGUACAGUAGAGGUGGGCGGAAUUCGUGGUGUAGCGGUGAAAUGCUUAGAGAUCACGAAGAACUCCGAUUGCGAAGGCAGUUCACUGGACUGCAACUGACACUGAGGCUCGAAAGUGUGGGUAUCAAACAGGAUUAGAUACCCGUGUAGUC
RNAcentral lists this ribosomal RNA (460 nucleotides) under uncultured bacterium. RNAcentral's name for it is "partial 16S ribosomal RNA". It matches the Rfam family "Bacterial small subunit ribosomal RNA", at positions 338 to 795 of the family's 1533-position model. The record is from RNAcentral.